This 146-nucleotide ribosomal RNA is filed under the name uncultured bacterium. Its description in RNAcentral is "partial 16S ribosomal RNA". It matches the Rfam family "Bacterial small subunit ribosomal RNA", at positions 337 to 475 of the family's 1533-position model. The record is from RNAcentral.
UCCUACGGGAGGCAGCAGUGGGGAAUUUUGGACAAUGGGCGCAAGCCUGAUCCAGCAAUGCCGCGUGAGUGAAGAAGGCCUUCGGGUUGUAAAGCUCUUUCAGUUGAGAAGAAAAGAUUGUGACUAAUAAUUGCAAUUCAUGACGU